Molecule: small RNA, 494 nt
Filed under: Histoplasma ohiense
Lineage: Eukaryota; Fungi; Ascomycota; Eurotiomycetes; Onygenales; Ajellomycetaceae
Description: hypothetical lncRNA
Source: RNAcentral
UCACACCAGGAGAAUCGACAAGAAAUAUAUAUCGACGCCAGCCUUUGGUAUUGACAACGCUAUUAACCCAAGAGCUGUUGGUUUUAGUCUUUAAUCCCAGCGGUCGCAAGUGGACAUAUUUAUAGAAAAAGGCUGAUAUGAUAGGUUGGACGCUAUGUAAAUAGCCCACUUCGCUGAGGGGUAGGAAGAAUUGCCGCCUGAGGUUGGUAAGCUUCUGCUUAUUUUUAGCUCGCAGUUAUUGAGCGCGGAGUCGACUCUGAUGACUAUGCAAGAUUGGGAUCUAAUGGCAUUAAUCACUGCCACAUUGCUACUACCGAAAACUGUAGCUGAUGAAUAGAUAAGGUCCCUUGAAGGACGGGCCAGGCAGGGAGGAGGAAUGGAAUGAUGAGAUAUCUCGAAUCUACACGGGUUUUUUUCUUGGGCCAUUUCCAUCACAAUGACUAGGUGUUUUGUAUUAAUGUCAUGUAUGCACUAUUCCUAUUAAAAUUAGCGAU